AGAGUUUGAUCCUGGCUCAGAGCGAACGCUGGCGGCAGGCCUAACACAUGCAAGUCGAACGGACCCUUCGGGGUUAGUGGCGGACGGGUGAGUAACACGUGGGAACGUGCCUUUAGGUUCGGAAUAGCUCCUGGAAACGGGUGGUAAUGCCGAAUGUGCCCUUCGGGGGAAAGAUUUAUCGCCUUUAGAGCGGCCCGCGUCUGAUUAGCUUGUUGGUGAGGUAAUGGCUCACCAAGGCUACGAUCAGUAGCUGGUCUGAGAGGAUGACCAGCCACAUUGGGACUGAGACACGGCCCAAACUCCUACGGGAGGCAGCAGUGGGGAAUCUUGCGCAAUGGGCGAAAGCCUGACGCAGCCAUGCCGCGUGGAUGAUGAAGGUCUUAGGAUUGUAAAAUCCUUUCACCGGUGAAGAUAAUGACUUAGCCGAGAGAG
This 432-nucleotide ribosomal RNA is filed under the name uncultured bacterium. RNAcentral's name for it is "bacterial SSU rRNA". It matches the Rfam family "Bacterial small subunit ribosomal RNA", at positions 8 to 465 of the family's 1533-position model. The record is from RNAcentral.